ACAGCUACCUUCGAGGGUAUCUCCUCCGC
RNAcentral lists this small RNA (29 nucleotides) under Bombyx mori (domestic silkworm). RNAcentral describes it as "ovarian small RNA-11110". Lineage: Eukaryota; Metazoa; Arthropoda; Insecta; Lepidoptera; Bombycidae. The record is from RNAcentral.